RNAcentral lists this unclassified non-coding RNA (488 nucleotides) under Hevea brasiliensis (rubber tree). The record is from RNAcentral. Lineage: Eukaryota; Viridiplantae; Streptophyta; Magnoliopsida; Malpighiales; Euphorbiaceae.
UACUAGUGUUAUCAGUCCUACACUAGGUUUUAAUAUCAAAACGAUCACUUACCAAAAGUAAGAUUCUGUUCACACAAAAUUGUUAAGUGCACUUCAACAUUAUCUACUAACGAACUAAAAAUUUUACCUACGUCGGGUACUGAGUUGCAUAGCACUCUGGUGAGUUCAAACUUUUGAUUUAUUCAUUCCAAAUUACAAAAGUUUGGAGGCUGAUAUUAGCAAUCAUAGAGAAUUCUAUGUAAUUGUAGAUCUUAACAACACCAUCAUUUUAUAUUGAUCCAUCAAAUUGUCAAAGUUAUCAACUCUUAUCUUUUUUUCUGUCUAUUUGGAAUGGCACUAUAAUUUUCUUUUUCUUGUGUCAUUGAUUGAACUGAAUAUUAGCUGAGGUUUCUUAAAUUAGAAUUUGAAUUCGAAUGAAUUUUUGUUGGAAUGCAAGAUUUUAUAACUUGUUAUUUGACAGGUAUACCUUAAAUAUAUGGGAUGUCGGG